UACGUAGGUGGCAAGCGUUGUCCGGAAUUAUUGGGCGUAAAGCGCGCGCAGGUGGUUUCUUAAGUCUGAUGUGAAAGCCCACGGCUCAACCGUGGAGGGUCAUUGGAAACUGGGGAACUUGAGUGCAGAAGAGGAAAGUGGAAUUCCAGGUGUAGCGGUGAAAUGCGUAGAUAUCUGGAGGAACACCGGUGGCGAAGGCGGCAUCCUGGACCAACACUGACACUGAGGAGCGAAAGCCAGGGGAGCAAACGGG
This 253-nucleotide ribosomal RNA is filed under the name uncultured bacterium. RNAcentral describes it as "partial 16S ribosomal RNA". It matches the Rfam family "Bacterial small subunit ribosomal RNA", at positions 524 to 776 of the family's 1533-position model. The record is from RNAcentral.